This 253-nucleotide ribosomal RNA is filed under the name uncultured bacterium. RNAcentral's name for it is "partial 16S ribosomal RNA". It matches the Rfam family "Bacterial small subunit ribosomal RNA", at positions 524 to 776 of the family's 1533-position model. The record is from RNAcentral.
UACGGAGGGGGCAAGCGUUAAUCGGAAUUACUGGGCGUAAAGCGCACGCAGGCGGUUGGAUAAGUUAGAUGUGAAAGCCCCGGGCUCAACCUGGGAAUUGCAUUUAAAACUGUCCGGCUAGAGUCUUGUAGAGGGGGGUAGAAUUCCAGGUGUAGCGGUGAAAUGCGUAGGGAUCUGGAGGAAUACCGGUGGCGAAGGCGGCCCCCUGGACAAAGACUGACGCUCAGGUGCGAAAGCGUGGGGAGCAAACAGG